Small nucleolar RNA from Humulus lupulus (European hop), 109 nucleotides. The record is from RefSeq and is a predicted model, not a curated record. NCBI's taxonomy places the organism in Eukaryota, Viridiplantae, Streptophyta, Magnoliopsida, Rosales, Cannabaceae.
AUGGCACGAUGAGGAAACUUUCUCAACAGUUCCUUAAACCUCUCCCAUGCAUCAUACAAUGAUUUCCCAAUAAGUUUGGUAGAAAUUAUCAAUCUCUCCCCUCAACCGU